GGGGUUGUGACUCAGUGGUAGAGUGCUUGCCUAGCAUGUGUGAGGCACUGGGUUCAAUUCUCAGCACCG
RNAcentral lists this transfer RNA (69 nucleotides) under Urocitellus parryii (Arctic ground squirrel). RNAcentral describes it as "Spermophilus parryii (Arctic ground squirrel) tRNA". It matches the Rfam family "tRNA". From Rfam's summary of the family: Transfer RNA (tRNA) molecules are approximately 80 nucleotides in length. The record is from Rfam by way of RNAcentral. RNAcentral also lists the same sequence under 2 other names. Lineage: Eukaryota; Metazoa; Chordata; Mammalia; Rodentia; Sciuridae.